This 468-nucleotide ribosomal RNA is filed under the name uncultured bacterium. RNAcentral describes it as "partial 16S ribosomal RNA". It matches the Rfam family "Bacterial small subunit ribosomal RNA", at positions 28 to 507 of the family's 1533-position model. The record is from RNAcentral.
GAUGAACGCUGGCGGCGUGCUUAACACAUGCAAGUCGAACGGAAAGGCCCAAGCUUGCUUGGGUACUCGAGUGGCGAACGGGUGAGUAACACGUGGGUGAUCUGCCCUGCACUUCGGGAUAAGCCUGGGAAACUGGGUCUAAUACUGGAUAGGACCACUUCUUGGAUGGUGUGGUGGAAAGUUUUUUCGGUGUGGGAUGAGCUCGCGGCCUAUCAGCUUGUUGGUGGGGUAAUGGCCUACCAAGGCGUCGACGGGUAGCCGGCCUGAGAGGGUGUACGGCCACAUUGGGACUGAGAGACGGCCCAGACUCCUACGGGGGGCAGCAGGGGGGAAUAUUGCACAAUGGGCGCAAGCCUGAUGCAGCGACGCCGCGUGGGGGAUGACGGCCUUCGGGUUGUAAACUCCUUUCGCUAGGGACGAAGCGUUUUUGUGACGGUACCUGGAGAAGAAGCACCGGCUAACUACGUG